AGAGUUUGAUUCUGGCUCAGAUUGAACGCCGGCGGCAGGCCUAACACAUGCAAGUCGAGCGGUAGAGAGGAGCUUGCUCCUCUUGAGAGCGGCGGACGGGUGAGUAAUGCCUAGGAAUCUGCCUGGUAGUGGGGGAUAACGUUCGGAAACGGACGCUAAUACCGCAUACGUCCUACGGGAGAAAGCAGGGGACCUUCGGGCCUUGCGCUAUCAGAUGAGCCUAGGUCGGAUUAGCUAGUUGGUGAGGUAAUGGCUCACCAAGGCGACGAUCCGUAACUGGUCUGAGAGGAUGAUCAGUCACACUGGAACUGAGACACGGUCCAGACUCCUACGGGAGGCAGCAGUGGGGAAUAUUGGACAAUGGGCGAAAGCCUGAUCCAGCCAUGCCGCGUGUGUGAAGAAGGUCUUCGGAUUGUAAAGCACUUUAAGUUGGGAGGAAGGGCAGUAAAUUAAUACUUUGCUGUUUUGACGUUACCGACAGAAUAAGCACCGGCUAACUCUGUGCCAGCAGCCGCGGUAAUACAGAGGGUGCAAGCGUUAAUCGGAAUUACUGGGCGUAAAGCGCGCGUAGGUGGUUUGUUAAGUUGGAUGUGGAAUCCCCGGGCUCAACCUGGGAACUGCAUUCAAAACUGACUGACUAGAGUAUGGUAGAGGGUGGUGGAACUUCCUGUGUAGCGGUGAAAUGCGUAGAUAUAGGAAGGAACACCAGUGGCGAAGGCGACCACCUGGACUAAUACUGACACUGAGGUGCGAAAGCGUGGGGGGCAAACAGGAUUAGAUACCCUGGUAGUCCACGCCGUAAACGAUGUCAACUAGCCGUUGGAAGCCUUGAGCUUUUAGUGGCGCAGCUAACGCAUUAAGUUGACCGCCUGGGGAGUACGGCCGCAAGGUUAAAACUCAAAUGAGUUGACGGGGGCCCGCACAAGCGGUGGAGCAUGUGGUUUAAUUCGAAGCAACGCGAAGAACCUUACCAGGCCUUGACAUCCAAUGAACUUUCUAGAGAUAGAUUGGUGCCUUCGGGAGCAUUGAGACAGGUGCUGCAUGGCUGUCGUCAGCUCGUGUCGUGAGAUGUUGGGUUAAGUCCCGUAACGAGCGCAACCCUUGUCCUUAGUUACCAGCACGUAAUGGUGGGCACUCUAAGGAGACUGCCGGUGACAAACCGGAGGAAGGUGGGGAUGACGUCAGGUCAUCAUGGCCCUUACGGCCUGGGCUACACACGUGCUACAAUGGUCGGUACAGAGGGUUGCCAAGCCGCGAGGUGGAGCUAAUCCCACAAAACCGAUCGUAGUCCGGAUCGCAGUCUGCAACUCGACUGCGUGAAGUCGGAAUCGCUAGUAAUCGCGAAUCAGGAUGUCGCGGUGAAUACGUUCCCGGGCCUUGCACUCACCGCCCGUC
This 1395-nucleotide ribosomal RNA is filed under the name uncultured bacterium. RNAcentral's name for it is "bacterial SSU rRNA". It matches the Rfam family "Bacterial small subunit ribosomal RNA". The record is from RNAcentral.